UGCAAGUCGAGCGGUAACAUUUCUAGCUUGGUAGAAGAUGACGAGCGGCGGACGGGUGAGUAAUGCUUGGGAACAUGCCUUGAGGUGGGGGACAACAGUUGGAAACGACUGCGAAUACCGCAUAAUGUCUACGGACCAAAGGGGGGUUCGGCUCUCGCCUUUAGAUUGGCCCAAGUGGGAUUAGCUAUUUGGUGAGGUAAUGGCUCACCAAGGCAACGAUCCCUAUCUGGUUUGAGAGGAUGAUCACCCACACUGGAACUGAGACACGGUCCACACUCCUACGGGAGGCAGCAGUGGGGAAUAUUGCACAAUGGGCGCAAGCCUGAUGCACCCAUGCCGCGUGUGUGAAAAAAGCCUUCUGGUUGUAAAGCACUUUCAGUCACGAGGAAAGGUUAUAGGUUAAUACCCGUUAGCUGUGACGUUACUGACAGAAAAAACACCGGCUAACUCCCUGCCACCAGCCGCGGUAAUACGGAGGGUGCGAGCGUUAAUCUGAAUUACUGGGCGUAAAGCGUACACACGCGGUUUGUUAAGCGAGAUGUGAAAGCCCCGGGCUCAACCUGGGAACUGCAUUUCUAACUGUCAAACUAUAGUGUGAUAUAGGGUGGUAGAAUUUCACGUGUAUCGGUGAAAUGCGUAGAGAUCUGAAAGAAUACCGAUGGCGAAAGCAGCCACCUGGGUCAACACUGACACUCAUGUACGAAAGCGUGUGGAGCAAACACGAUUAUAUACCCUGUUAGUCCACGCCGUAUACGAUAUCUACUGCGAGAUGUGAAAGCCCCGGGCUCAACCUGGGAACUGCAUUUCGAACUGGCAAACUAGAGUGUGAUAGAGGGUGGUAGAAUUUCAGGUGUAGCGGUGAAAUGCGUAGAGAUCUGAAGGAAUACCGAUGGCGAAGGCAGCCACCUGGGUCAACACUGACGCUCAUGUACGAAAGCGUGGGGAGCAAACAGGAUUAGAUACCCUGGUAGUCCACGCCGUAAACGAUGUCUACUAGAAGCUCGGAACCUCGGUUUUGUUUUUCAAAGCUAACGCAUUAAGUAGACCGCCUGGGGAGUACGGCCGCAAGGUUAAAACUCAAAUGAAUUGACGGGGGCCCGCACAAGCGGUGGAGCAUGUGGUUUAAUUCGAUGCAACGCGAAGAACCUUACCUACACUUGACAUACAGAGAACUUACCAGAGAUGGUUUGGUGCCUUCGGGAACUCUGAUACAGGUGCUGCAUGGCUGUCGUCAGCUCGUGUUGUGAGAUGUUGGGUUAAGUCCCGCAACGAGCGCAACCCCUAUCCUUAGUUGCUAGCAGGUAAUGCUGAGAACUCUAAGGAGACUGCCGGUGAUAAACCGGAGGAAGGUGGGGACGACGUCAAGUCAUCAUGGCCCUUACGUGUAGGGCUACACACGUGCUACAAUGGCGCAUACAGAGUGCUGCGAACUCGCGAGAGUAAGCGAAUCACUU
This 1454-nucleotide ribosomal RNA is filed under the name Pseudoalteromonas sp. BS6_75. RNAcentral's name for it is "bacterial SSU rRNA". It matches the Rfam family "Bacterial small subunit ribosomal RNA", at positions 56 to 1277 of the family's 1533-position model. Lineage: Bacteria; Pseudomonadati; Pseudomonadota; Gammaproteobacteria; Alteromonadales; Pseudoalteromonadaceae. The record is from RNAcentral.